CCUACGGGUGGCAGCAGUGAGGAAUAUUGGUCAAUGGGCGCGAGCCUGAACCAGCCAAGUAGCGUGAAGGAUGACUGCCCUACGGGUUGUAAACUUCUUUUAUAAAGGAAUAAAGUGAGGCACGUGUGCCUUUUUGUAUUUACUUUAUGAAUAAGGAUCGGCUAAUUCCGUGCCAGCAGCCGCGGUAACACGGCGGGACCGAGCGUUAUCCGGAUUUAUUGGGUUUAAAGGGAGCGGAGAUGGGUUGUUAAGUCAGUUGUGAAAGUUUGGGGCUCAACCGUAAAAUUGCAAUUGAUACUGGCAGCCUUGAGUACAGUUGAGGUAGGCGGAAUUCGUGGUGUAGCGGUGAAAUGCUUAGAUAUCACGAAGAACUCCGAUUGCGAAGGCAGCCUACUAAACUGCCACUGACAUUGAUGCUCGAAAGUGUGGGUAUCAAACAGGAUUAGAUACCCGAGUAGUC
This 460-nucleotide ribosomal RNA is filed under the name uncultured bacterium. Its description in RNAcentral is "partial 16S ribosomal RNA". It matches the Rfam family "Bacterial small subunit ribosomal RNA", at positions 338 to 795 of the family's 1533-position model. The record is from RNAcentral.